UACGUAGGUGGCAAGCGUUGUCCGGAAUUAUUGGGCGUAAAGCGCGCGCAGGCGGUCCUUUAAGUCUGAUGUGAAAGCCCUCGGCUCAACCGAGGAGGGUCAUUGGAAACUGGAGGACUUGAGUGCAGAAGAGGAAAGUGGAAUUCCAAGUGUAGCGGUGAAAUGCGUAGAGAUUUGGAGGAACACCAGUGGCGAAGGCGACUUUCUGGUCUGUAACUGACACUGAGGCGCGAAAGCGUGGGGAGCAAACAGG
Molecule: ribosomal RNA, 253 nt
Filed under: uncultured bacterium
Lineage: Bacteria
Description: partial 16S ribosomal RNA
Rfam family: Bacterial small subunit ribosomal RNA
Source: RNAcentral